Molecule: long non-coding RNA, 2223 nt
Filed under: Aquilegia coerulea
Lineage: Eukaryota; Viridiplantae; Streptophyta; Magnoliopsida; Ranunculales; Ranunculaceae
Description: long non-coding RNA (ACOE_LNC001187)
Source: RNAcentral
UUCCAUUCAUUGCUUCAAGCUGGUAAUAAUACAAAGAGAUGGUACGUUGUACAUAGAAAGUAGAACUUGAACAAGUAAAAUUGUCCCACUUAUAUUGAAAUCUAAAAUUAACAUUCGAAGGAAUAAAUAAAUUAAAAAAAAAAAAAAAAAAUAAAAUAUCCAUUGCAUCAGCCUUGACAUUGUAGGACCUACAACAAAAUUCUUCACUCCUUCUCGAUACUCAUUAGUCGUCCUACAGUACAAAUAAAAAAGUAAGAUCAUUAACGUACGGUAAGCAAAAAUCAGGUAUGAAAGCAUACUAAUUAAAUUCUUAUUUCAAUACCUUUUAAGAUGAACCCAUCCUUUGUCCAUCACGAUGAUUACAAAUGCCAACUUCAAACCUGAUUAAACAAACUCAAAAAUGUGAUUGACGCACUAUUUAAGUUUAAAGUUAUAAAGAAUUCAAAAAUGUGAUCUAUGUCUCAGAAGAAUAUUUGUAGCUGAGGAUCAAAACAUGUAUGAAUUUCAAUUUCUCAAUGCAAACUAAGUUGGAUCUUAUUUAACUACCUUCAGCUUACAAAGCCCUUUUCUAGAAAGUCCUGGAAGAGAUUCUAGAAUUAGAACACUGUAAAGAAACCUAUCAACCCUACUUUAAUUUAUAGAUACAAUACCAAUCAAGCAGCACAUUCAACUAAAAAUACAAACGCGUAUGAUGACAAGACUAGAAAAAUUCCAUAAAAAUAGUCUAAAUAAUACCUAAAGAAAUGCAAGCCACAAACAAUUUGAAGCAUACACAAACCAUGUGAACAAGUAAAUUGAAUUAAGAUAACUAACAAGUAAUUGGCAAUAACAAAAUCCCAACUAACAUCAUACACAAAGCUAAACUAACUCAACUACAGAACACCUCAACUGCAUCAAUUCAACUACAGAACACCUCAACUGCAUCAAUUGGACAGCCCGCAAAUGAGCUAUAACUCAUUUGCCUUGAAUAUUCUAGAGUGCUGUUCCAUGUGAAGUAUUUGAGAAAUAACAAUUAUCUGAUCUUAUCUUUGUCAAUUCUCAUAAAAUCUACCUUGUUCACCAUGUUUCCAAUGUUUCCUUCAAAACUGUAAUUGAUUUCUUUGUUUGCAAUGAUAAUGUUAUACAGCUAGAAGGCUCUUUCUAAACUAGUUUAACUGACUGACAGAAAGAGAUACAGUACAUUGAAUUUUCAGCCUGCAUUAAGCAGCGUCAGGUAGGAGAAAGUCCAGUUAAGGAUAGAAACAAAAUUAAGUCCUAUUACUAGUAAUGGUAUCAUCCCAGUUGUUGAAUGAAUGCAGUACCACUGAUUCUCCACUUCCUUUUUAUCGUCGUCCUAAAGGGUCGAAUUUAUACAUAUUAAUCCGUUACAACACCAAAUACAACAUUUAUCGUGAUUGGUUCUGCAUUGAUCCAAAAGGUAUCAAAUUCAACAGCAGCUGCCAGCAACAAUUUGAUGAUCAGUUUGGUAACCAAACAAAAUUUCUCAGCAAACCAUUGUUCAGUAUGCCACCUGAUAUGCUUCACCAUGUUACUUGUGUUGCCGUUGGCUCUAAGAUUUACUCUUUGGGUGGCUAUGACCGUACUACUUAUAUCUCUCACCCUAGAAUUUAUAACAAAGCCUAUGUUUACGACACAGCAGCACAUGACAACAACAACGUAAUCAAUUAACUUAAUUGAGUGAUCAGACCUGUAUUUCUCAUUGAGUGAUCAAUAAUAAUUCUACCUUAAUAAAAAAAAAAAAAAAAAAUAGAAUCUAUGAUGAUAUAAACAUAAUCUUAACAUCAACCAUAUUAUAAAACUAACAUGAUUAACACCCUCAUAUACAAAUUUAAGUUUUGAAAAUUAUAAAAAUCAAAUAACUAACUUUUGCAACAAUGGAAUUCCUUCAAUAAAUUUCACAACUAUCAAACCAUUAGAAAACAUAAAAAAAUUACCUAUAUUUAAUCAGAAACAGGGCAACGAAACACGAAUUGCAAGAGAUAAAGUUGAUGACUUCGCCGAAGAAUCCAAUUGGAGAGGUGAAAAGGAGUUAAUAGAGAGAAAACUGCUGGUUUAACAAUGAAAAUUAGAGAGAUCGAUUUUGCUGAUCUGUAGAGAAGAUGAUGCAAAGCUGUAGAGAAGAUGCAAAGCUUGUUGGACUGGGCUUUACAAAUUUUUCUUAAAUAGGCCUAGGUAAGUCUGUAAUGGGUCGGGUCAUAUGUCUUUUUUCUUAUGUUUUUUGAC